CUAUGACGCAUUUUGCGACAAUUAGCGACCGGUUUAUAGAUAAAACGUUAAUUACAUUUUCUAUUGGGGAGAACCGUUAGAUAUUUAAAGCUCGCUUGCUGUUCAUAUUAAAUACACAGGUGACAGAAACUACCAAACUCUUGACCAACAACAAUCGUUUUAAAAGUCAACGAAAGAAAUCAAAAUGACAAAAAUUAUUUUACUGUUAUCAAUAUUUAUCUUAUUGAUUGGGCUUGUGGUAAAUGACGAGAUAACGGUGCUGGAGGGGGAUUGUUUUCUCAGUAUGUGUAUUCCCACAAUGGUAGAGUGCUGUGAAGGACACGUUUGCACUGCUAAUAACGGUGUGUACAUAUGUGGUAGAAAAAAAGGUGAUCAAAAGUAAAUAAUUCGUGGAACUUCAAAUUCGAGGUUUCAAUAAUUUAAUUUCAACAUCUAUUAAAUUAUUCCUUCAAGUAAAAUUAUGUAAGACGCAUAAACAAAUGAAUAAAUAGUAUUGCGCUAUCAAAAUAUAAAA
Molecule: long non-coding RNA, 514 nt
Organism: Microplitis mediator
Lineage: Eukaryota; Metazoa; Arthropoda; Insecta; Hymenoptera; Braconidae
Exons: 3
Source: RefSeq, a predicted model, not a curated record